This 785-nucleotide ribosomal RNA is filed under the name Arthrobacter sp. RNAcentral's name for it is "bacterial SSU rRNA". It matches the Rfam family "Bacterial small subunit ribosomal RNA", at positions 80 to 876 of the family's 1533-position model. Lineage: Bacteria; Bacillati; Actinomycetota; Actinomycetes; Micrococcales; Micrococcaceae. The record is from RNAcentral.
UUGCACCGGGGAUUAGUGGCGAACGGGUGAGUAACACGUGAGUAACCUGCCCUUAACUCUGGGAUAAGCCUGGGAAACUGGGUCUAAUACCGGAUAUGACUCCUCAUCGCAUGGUGGGGGGUGGAAAGCUUUUUGUGGUUUUGGAUGGACUCGCGGCCUAUCAGCUUGUUGGUGAGGUAAUGGCUCACCAAGGCGACGACGGGUAGCCGGCCUGAGAGGGUGACCGGCCACACUGGGACUGAGACACGGCCCAGACUCCUACGGGAGGCAGCAGUGGGGAAUAUUGCACAAUGGGCGAAAGCCUGAUGCAGCGACGCCGCGUGAGGGAUGACGGCCUUCGGGUUGUAAACCUCUUUCAGUAGGGAAGAAGCGAAAGUGACGGUACCUGCAGAAGAAGCGCCGGCUAACUACGUGCCAGCAGCCGCGGUAAUACGUAGGGCGCAAGCGUUAUCCGGAAUUAUUGGGCGUAAAGAGCUCGUAGGCGGUUUGUCGCGUCUGCCGUGAAAGUCCGGGGCUCAACUCCGGAUCUGCGGUGGGUACGGGCAGACUAGAGUGAUGUAGGGGAGACUGGAAUUCCUGGUGUAGCGGUGAAAUGCGCAGAUAUCAGGAGGAACACCGAUGGCGAAGGCAGGUCUCUGGGCAUUAACUGACGCUGAGGAGCGAAAGCAUGGGGAGCGAACAGGAUUAGAUACCCUGGUAGUCCAUGCCGUAAACGUUGGGCACUAGGUGUGGGGGACAUUCCACGUUUUCCGCGCCGUAGCUAACGCAUUAAGUGCCCCGCCUGG